Non-coding RNA from Xyrichtys novacula (pearly razorfish), 3186 nucleotides. NCBI's taxonomy places the organism in Eukaryota, Metazoa, Chordata, Actinopteri, Labriformes, Labridae. The record is from the annotation of a GenBank genome assembly.
CCACACACAAACCUCAACUAAAAAGCCACGAACUUACACUAACCUAAUGCAUCAACAGUACAGGGUCCCAGCCAUAACACUAGCCACCAAACAUCUUUUUAACUUUGCCUGAUUUCUGUAGCAAAGAGACUAAACACAACCCACCUACUCUCUUCCAGCAGCCGCUUGUUUGUAGCGAGAUCUCAACCAGUCCAUCACCGAUUGAGGUGGGGGGGCACAUCUCAGGGAGGAACAUUUAUGAUCAUUACUUUAUCAUUUCCUUGAAGUAAUAAUCAUCAUAUUAGUCAUUUUGCACUGCAGACUCGGUAGUUCUUCUGCCUUCGCGUCUCGGUCGGAUUGCAUUUCCAUGAAGAAAUGAUCAUAAAUGUUCUUCCUUGAGCUGCGUCACCUUGAGUAGGUGAGUUGUGUGGUCGUUACUAAAGUUGGUAUAACUAGGGAAGCAACUAGGGUCGGCAACAUUCAUCUCUCGUGGGGGUGUUUAACUUAGUGUUACGGUGUGUUUGACUCUUAAUUAAUUUUAUGCCGGAAUAUCCCUUUAAUGUUCAGACUGAUAAACUUGAUUGUUUUGUGUUUGUUUGUUUUGCAAAUAUUCACUCAUUUUGAAUUUUAUGCUGCAACACGUUCCUGAAAAGUUUGAAAAGGGUUAAUGAAGAUUGAGGACUGCUCCAAAAACACCUGGUGGAUCAGUCCACAAGUGAACAAGUUCAUUGGAAACAGGUGAGUAUCUGGGAUUGUUUUUUGUUUUUCCUUUGUUUUCAUCAGCAGCAUAUCAAACAAGAGUCUCCAUCACUGUCCUUGCACAACAUGAAUAUCAGUCAUAAAAGUAACAAAACAAACUAUUUUUUAAGUAGUUACUGGUAUUGAAACAUCUCUUAUUUAUGCACACGGUUUUAAAAAUGACGUGCUCAACAUUUCCCCAACUACCACUUAAUUUCCCCAUCCUUUUCCUGCUCCCAUGAGGGUGAACCCUCCAGAUUACACUGACCUUUAACUUUCAAUCUACAUUCCCUUCAGAAUGAACUUUACAUUUUCAUCCUCCUCUGGUAUGAUGGGCUAACUAAUCAGUAUGUUAUUUGUUCUGUCAGAUACUUGGCAGCAGCAGCUCCCGGUCCAGAUGUUGGCCUCUGUAAGUGUGACUGUAUGCGACUGCGUGUGCAGUGUGUGGUAUGAAUGUGUGUGUCGGAGUGAGGAACACCAGCCUGCCAGCUCGGUUCUCAUUUGCAUCUGCUAAUGGCUCUAUGAUGCCAGUUUCUGAUCACAGCAACUACACAUUUAAAUUCCUGCUUCUUUGCCAGAUGCUCCCUCCCCUCUCUCGUUCUCUCUCUCUCUUUCUCUGUCCAGGGAUUCCUGCAUCCAUCCUGUAACGGCGUCCCUGUUCGUGCUCUGCAUCUGAACAUGGUGGAGGAGGUUAAACAGCAGACAUGGAGCUGUAUCUGAUCACAAUAAAGCUUUUCAACAUUACAGCCAUGAAGGAGUCAUUACCAAACAACUCGAGUUUAUCUGCAGCAUCCUCUCAGGCUUUCCAACACAUCGCUGCAGGUAUUUGCUCUCGUCCUGACACAGAAACACUCGAGCCAGAGAAACAUCAAAGAAUUGACAGUCAUACCAUACAGUUAUUUUUGGAUAAAGGGCUCUGCUCUUUUAGGGAGCCCUGGAGCAGCAUUUCCGUCUUAUGAACUUUCAUAAGGGACUGGGGACCUUUGGAUGAACUCAGGAUAUUUUCACUGUGGGUACCAGGAUUUCUACUGAGUCCCAGGGACAUAAUUCAACUCUGAAAAGAGAGAAUGGUGCUGUUUCCAAGUAAGCCUUCAGUGCUGAACACGCUGUAUUGAGAAAUCUCGGUAUUCAACAGAGUAAGAGAGCAGGAAGUAGAAGUCUGUGGGAGCUGAGCAGGUUCAGGGCUGCAUGUGUUUUAUCUAACUUUCUUUUUAACCUUGAUUUAGCCAGUUUAGCCACACGGAAAUCAGAGAUCUCUUUUUCCCAGUCUGGCAGCAACACACUGUUUCAACAGUCAAACAGGAAACACCAAGGGUAAGGUGAGUCAAAGGAAACAACAACAGAACAAACACAUAUACCCUGGAUCCCAAGGCCCUGCAGUCUCCCCAGUCCACAGCCAAACCUGAAGCACUUAGACCCGCCAUGCUAAGUGGCGAUCCAAAGCUCUUAACCCUGCUCAGAGGGGAGAGGAUUAAGGAAAGAGGAAAGAAAUCAGAGGAGCAAUGAGAGAGAAUACAGAGAGCUGUCUUCCUGGAUAAAGAGAUCUCUGAUUUCAGUGUGGCUCUUGUUCUGAAAUAGAACUAAAAAGUCUUUUAAAAAGUCAGCUAAAACAUUUCCAUUCAGAAAACAUGGUCUCCAAACCGAUUUAAAUACAUUUAGGCAAAUAAAGUUAAAAAUCAGUCUGCAGAUUUUUCCAGGCAAGAGGGAACGACGUAUUCAACAUAAUUUAUCCUGAGACACUUGACAAAAUAGACCAUAGCUUGUUUGCAAAGACCUGAAGAGAUAUGGGAUCUUCAACCACAGGUGAAACACUUUGCAGAGUGGGUUAAUUUUUUUUUUUAAGUUUUCUGUUUCUUUUUUUCAUCUCAUGUCAGCUUUUUUUUUUUUUUAUAUCAAAACCAAGGGAGUUUUUUUUUUUUCUGAAUAAAAAAUAAAAAAGUAAAAGAAGACAGAUGAGGCUUAUCUAGUAAAAUGUAUUAAUUAGAGCAGAGAGGAAGGACCCUGCAGCUUAUGCUAGCUGUAGUGACUAAAAAUGUUGAAACAACAACGAAAAUGAAGUAUUUCAUGACCUGAUGUAAGCAACACAGCAUAAAAAUAAAAUGUACAGUGAGAUGUUUUGAUGGUUCCAUAACCCUACAUGUCUGGAAACACUGGUAAAUGGUUGUAUCAACAGGGGCCUCACUCUUCCUCUCUUCUCUCAACGGUCAGAGCAGAAUCAAAUUUAGAAUAAAAUCAGUUUUCUGGGAAAAAUUACAUUUUAUUUGUUGGGUUGGUUAGAGUGGUAUACCGUAGGUUAUUGGAUAUCGAUGGCUGCUCAGAAUUCAUUUCUGAGAGUGUUUUGACUAGAAUGUACCAACUAAAUUUGCCAUCAGAAAAAACAGUCUUCUCUAAUAUGAGACAGAGUGUACUUAGCAGUUUUUGGGUCAACAAGGUUAAAUUUACUCAUAACUGCACCCUCCUCAAUAUAAG